Long non-coding RNA from Malaclemys terrapin pileata, 294 nucleotides. RefSeq lists it as uncharacterized. NCBI's taxonomy places the organism in Eukaryota, Metazoa, Chordata, Testudines, Emydidae. The transcript has 3 exons. The record is from RefSeq and is a predicted model, not a curated record.
AUUCAGACCCAGCCACACUCCAUCUUCCGGAGCCCUUGUCAGUGUAUAUACAGCAAGCCGCUGCAGCAAAAACCAUCGGCGUUCUAGCCAAGGACUCCACCAAACUGGCCGAAGAGAUGAUCCAGCUGAGAGUGGUGCACGGCCUUAUGUGUGCUAUGGGGAACCAGGAUCACACCACCUGCCAGAGACAGGCCAGCAUCACUCUAGAGUAUUUUGUCCGGACAUUUCCCAUUGUGGAGCAGCAUGUGAGGAAGGCAACAGGAGAGACUCUGUUCCAGCUUUUUAUGGUAAAUG